Molecule: non-coding RNA, 24 nt
Filed under: Arabidopsis thaliana (thale cress)
Lineage: Eukaryota; Viridiplantae; Streptophyta; Magnoliopsida; Brassicales; Brassicaceae
Source: RNAcentral
CUUCACAGUUAAGCGUGCUUGAGC